AUGAAGAAUCCUCGCAAAACCAAAUUAAUGUUGAAGGAUAAAGAUGACUGUUACAUAAAGCAAGCCCAGGCUGCAGCAUCCGAACGCCUCGAGCAGAUGGGCAGCAGCUUCACACAUCCCAUGGACCCGCAUGACAACGGAGGCACAACCGGCGGUGACGCAGGCGCUGCCUUCGUGGAGCUGCUGGGGGCACACGGACACGACCUGCUCCCCCCCACAACCUGCUCUGCCGCAGCCCCACGGAGCCCGGUUUGGGAUGAGCCACUGUUCAGCCCCAUCCGCGCCCCCACGUGCCGGGCAGUGCUGUCACAGUUACCCACGCUCCAGGGAAGAGGCUGCUGAGUGUCGGCGCAGCCACUGCCCCGAGGUGCGGAGCGCUGCGUAGCGGCGCAGUUCAUCCCAGCAUCACCGCGGCUGCGAAGUGCCGGUGGCACCAGCUGAAUUUCCGUGGCAAUCAAUGCGCCCGGGAGCAGCCAGCUCAGCCCUGCGUGGCUGCGGGAUGAGUAAGGGCUCCUCGGUGGAGGCCAUUAACUCCCACUGCUCGCUGCUCUCAUUACUUCCCAGACUGCGAGGCUUGCAUCUUUGACGUGCGGCUGCAUCUACAUCUGACAGCGUGAACCUGAUGAGUGGAAUUCACGGGAAAUGUUUGCUUUGGCAGGAACGAUCGGGCCCAUAAAGUUCCCUCAGCGCAAACAUAGAGGGAUGUGUGCUUUUAAUGAGUUGCUUUAUACAAUCAGGAAGAAACGGCCAACGAUAUUUUUUGCUCGUGCUGCAAAUCACUCGGGAGCGGAACGCUGUAAAAACCGUGGCGUAUCAUUUAAAAUAGGAGAGUUGUAGCUAUGGGAGGAGAGUCAGCAGGCACACAGCCGUCACCCACCACACGCAUGCACUGACACAGCCCAAUGCACACACAGCUGCUGGGUGUGCUCCAGGGCCAGCAGACGGCCCCCAGCCACCCCCACCCGUGGGCAGAGCAGACCCAGAGCUCAGCCGUAAGGCUGUGAACCCAGCCUGCUCGCAGCUCUGCGCAAAGUUCCCGGAGGUGAAAGCAAGGAAAGAAGCAUUUUCAGCACGGGGGUCUGAAGGUCCUGCUUUGCUCAGCUUAAGAGAGCACGGCUCGUCUGCAAGGUCACCGAGCUGCCACUGCCCUGGGGCAGAAGGAAUCCGGUAUAAAAGGAGCAGCACACACAGCAGCAUCUCCCGGUGCCAUCCAGCACAGGGCGAAGCAGGCUCUGGUAAGGUCUGCUGCUCCUCUCGAAGCUAUUUUUCUGGUUGUCUUUGAGAAAAUGAGGGGAAACGGCAUGGGAAAUGUCAGAAAUAAAGCCAGAAGCAAUUAGAGUUAGAGAGAAGCGGGAGCAGCAGGCAAGGUUAGCAGGAAAGUUAUCUCUUAUUAAAAAUAAAACACGGAGGGACUGCAGGCUGACGGGGUGGUGCGGAGGACAGGCUGGCAGCGAGGAUCCAGGGCACGCAGCAAAGCAAUUCACAAGGCAAUUGGAGCAGAGAAGCAGCCGGCAGGCUCCCAUUUCCAAGGCUAAACUCCUCAAAAAAUAAAAAAGCAGAGGGCGUCCUCUAUUUCUAAGAUUAUAGUCUUCUGCCGGCUCCAGCCCUGGAAACAGCCCUCCGAUUCCACCGCUCUAUUCGUCUUCCACAAAAGAAAUCCAAACUGGGAGGCACCCUGAAAAGCAUCUCAGGUGCUUCGCCCAGGAGCAGUUCCUAAGGUCAUAGUAGAGCUGCAGAUUCCCCAUCCUUCCCCAUGCAGCGCAUCCCCACCCACAGCCUGAGCCCACGGCGGGGGCACAGCCAUGGGGAUGGGGUUGGGGCCGCUGUGCCCACGGCUGUGGGUGCCCAGGACAGCACUGCGUGUAGCAGAUAAAAGCCAGAACACAACCGACGGUAAACACAGAUGUACAUCAGAACCCAAUGGCCUCUCCCGAUUCUUCAGCACAGAAAGAAAAUCUGAGCUCAAGUUUCACCUCUCAGGGCUUUAAAUCCAAAGCUCGAGCCCAGUGCCAAAGCCUCCAGCGACUCCAAAGGGCUGUGCAGAAACACCCUUGGCAUCACCCAUCCCACAGCGAGCAGGGCACCCUGCUGAGCUCCAGCUCUGAGGGACCCCCGGGAGCAGCAGGAGGGUGAGUGGCCCUCGAGGUGCUGCGCAGGGCUGCUCCAUCCAUCCAUCCAUCCAUCCAUCCAUCCAUCCAUCCAUCCAUCCACUCACCCACCCAUCCAUCCGUGUGCCCAUCCCACAGCCACGCAGACCCGCUCCCCAGGGAACCCCCAUAGCCUUGUGUGGGGCAGGGGGAUGCUCUGCAUGCCCGGGGAGCACAGCACAGUGCUGCUGAGAGCUGCACACACCGGGAGCUCCGUGGAGGCAGUGCUGCCUGACCCGCGCCCCACGCCAACGCUCGAUUGUUCCGAAUGGGACUUCUGAAAUACAAAAUUGGGUUGGGGGGAACAGAAAGCUGCGCACAUCGCACAGCAGCGUCCCUUUCCUUACCCUUACGUGCUUCACACACUGCUGCUUUAAAUGUAUUCUACCGAAACACGGUCAAAAUAAACAAAAAUCGGUAUUCCUGCAGCUUUAAGGACAGACAUGCAAGGAGAGGGCAGGGGCUGGGUAAAUAGCGCUCUCCAAACACAAUGCCACGAAAAUAACAAGAUUUCGGCUCAGAUGACUUCGCGGCGGUAAUGAAAAUGCGUUACAUAACACUUUGCCUCCGUCUCCUCCGCUUUGCAAUUCUCGAUUAAUCUACAAAACACAUCCGUCCGUCCGCGGGCGCCGUACACG
Molecule: long non-coding RNA, 2785 nt
Organism: Meleagris gallopavo (turkey)
Lineage: Eukaryota; Metazoa; Chordata; Aves; Galliformes; Phasianidae
Source: Ensembl